Molecule: long non-coding RNA, 1183 nt
Filed under: Callithrix jacchus (white-tufted-ear marmoset)
Lineage: Eukaryota; Metazoa; Chordata; Mammalia; Primates; Cebidae
Description: lncRNA (ENSCJAG00000081860.1)
Source: RNAcentral
CAAGAUUCUUGUUUUCAUUCCUUCUUACCGGUGGAAGCUGUGUAAAAUCAAAUACGUAGAGGUGUGUAGUGAUUUUUUAAAAGCCAACUAACCCACCGCACGGGCUGCGACGCGGAUUACCCGAGCGCACGCCGGCUGGGCGCGUUCUGGGGUCUCUGCGCAAGACCAUCUCUCAGCUCUCUCUCCCUUCCUCGGACUCUGGAGUGGGAGCGGGCCUUUCCCUCGGGCGGACCACACCGUAGGGGACGCCGUGAAAAGAGCCGUCGCGCCCGCCACCUCCUGCCCGCUGCGCAGAGGGCUCCGCCCGUAGAGCAAACUCGUAGCCAGACCAGAUGGGCCGCCCAGCUCUCUCGGGACUAGGCAGUCGUCUUCCUUGAAACAGAAAUGUAAGGUCCUCAGACGCGGAUCUCAGCACAGACUUGGUCACCAAAGGGAUGUGCAAAGGACGAAAGUGUGGGCCUCGAGACUUAAACAGAAAGGGGUGGCCGGAGACCCACCAGGUGAGACAGAGCAGAAGCCCAUGCAGCCUGCCACCUUCAGCCAGGUUUAUAGCUCGGCAGUCUUAGUUAGACGGGUCCAGAGGGCUGAGCUCUGCAGACCGCUCGGGUGCGCAGUAGCCUGCUCGGCGCAUCCCAGCCGGCGGGAGGCACUGGAGGGCCAGGAGGGCCAGGAGGCCUGAAACCCGCACUGCGGAAAACCCGACCGCAGCCGCAUCCUCAUAGAUCCCGCGACGGAAAGAGUCAGGGCGGUUUACUAAAUCCUAUCCAGUGAAAAUUCGCCCUAGGAAUUGAAGGUUGGAUGGGCCAGUAUUGAUAUAUUUUUUAAAAUCUUUACAUUUCUCAACCUAUUUCAUCGUUCUUAGAUAUUGAGAGUAUUAAAUGUAAACAAUACAAAUUUUAAUUCCCUAAGUAAUGAACCAAAAUGGCAAGGGAGAGAGAGACGGGAAAUCAACUAAUUCGUAGCCAGCCUGGCUGGCUAUUUCUCAAAAGAAAUUUCUAUGCAUUUGCUUAGGUUUGCCUAUAAAUUCACAAACGUAAAGGCUGUUAAAAUUAAUAACAGAUUGGACAAUAGAGCAGCAACACCGAUUUUGAUCCAGAUACAAAAAUGGGCCAUGCAUUGAAAUGACCUAAAAGAGAUGUGUUCAUUAAGUUCUUCUUCUCUCUUUCUCUCUCUCUCUCUCUCU